AUUGAACGCUGGCGGCAUGCUCUACACAUGCAAGUCGAACGGUAACAGGCCGCAAGGUGCUGACGAGUGGCGAACGGGUGAGUAAUGCAUCGGAACGUGCCCAGUCGUGGGGGAUAACUACUCGAAAGAGUAGCUAAUACCGCAUACGAUCUAUGGAUGAAAGCGGGGGACCGUAAGGCCUCGCGCGAUUGGAGCGGCCGAUGUCAGAUUAGGUAGUUGGUGGGGUAAAGGCUCACCAAGCCAACGAUCUGUAGCUGGUCUGAGGGGACGACCAGCCACACUGGAAUGAGGACAGGCCCAAACUCCUACGGGGAGGCACAGGUGGGAAUUUUGGACAAUGGGCGCAAGCCUGAUCCAGCAAUGCCGCGUGCAGGAAGAAGGCCUUCGGGUUGUAAACUGCUUUUGUACGGAACGAAACGGCUCUGGUUAAUACCCGGGGCUAAUGACGGUACCGUAAGAAUAAGCACCGGCUAACUACGUG
This 481-nucleotide ribosomal RNA is filed under the name uncultured bacterium. RNAcentral describes it as "partial 16S ribosomal RNA". It matches the Rfam family "Bacterial small subunit ribosomal RNA", at positions 30 to 507 of the family's 1533-position model. The record is from RNAcentral.